Molecule: long non-coding RNA, 1022 nt
Organism: Rattus rattus (black rat)
Lineage: Eukaryota; Metazoa; Chordata; Mammalia; Rodentia; Muridae
Exons: 2
Source: RefSeq, a predicted model, not a curated record
AGCUUCUUUCGCUGCAGGGCAGGUGUGAAACCCAGUCCGUGAAAGACCCUUGAGGUCCUCAUCUUGGCUUUGCUGGCAUCCAGCUCUUGCAGCUGCUCAUCCAGUUCCAUGAACAUCUCACGCUCCACAUCCUCCCGACCUAACUAAGCGCUCCGCCCCCCUCUCCAGAUGAGUCAUCUUCAAAGAUUGUGAUCCAUAUUGGCUGUUCCUGAAAAACUCUUUGGCUGAGUGCUUUCCACAUAGCUCAGGUUGGUCUCAAAGUCAUGGCUAUCCUCCUGCCUCAGAUUCUCCAGUGACUGGAUGACAGGCAUGUGCCACAUGGCACAACUUGGCCUGUUGUUUUGUUUUGAUUUUGGUACUGGGGAUUGAACCCAGACCUUUGCACAUGCUAGACAAGCAAUCUAUUCUUUUCUUUUUUUAUGGAUGUGUGUGGUUACCUACGUAAGGAUGUGUGUGCAGGAGCGACAGAGGUCAGAAGAGAGCACCACAUCCCCUGGAACUGGAGUUACAGGCAGAUGCAAGCUGCCAUCUUGGUGCUGGAAAUAAAUAUGCAACUUCUGUAAGAGCAGUACGUACUCUUAAUGGCUGAGCUCUCUUGAGUCCUCUGCUUGGACUUUUUAAAAACUAAUUUUAUUAGAGAAUACAUUACUUCCUUUCAGACCUAUGAGGAUAUGCCUUUUGCAAAGUAUUUCCUUUAUCCCUCUCCAGAAGAGAAAAGGAAACAGAAGUGGGGCCUGAUACAGAACUCCAACUCCUAUUAAUGGAUGCAAAGUGCCCAGGAUGUCAUAAAAUGAGCCCAGUCUUCGGCCAUAAACAAAAGGCAGUCUUGUGUGUUGGCUGCUGCACUGCCCUGUCAGCCUACAAAAGGAAAAGGAAGGCUGGCCGCUCCUGCAGGACACAGCACUAAAGGCGCCCUGGUUCAAGAUGAGUGGGAAACCAUCCCAGUAAACACAUCAUGAAUUUAAAACAAAACAGCAUUACUUCAAAUGAGAUAAUUUUAAAUAUAUAUUUUGAUGAAUUUG